Molecule: unclassified non-coding RNA, 431 nt
Filed under: soil metagenome
Description: partial contains 5.8S ribosomal RNA, internal transcribed spacer 2, and large subunit ribosomal RNA
Rfam family: 5.8S ribosomal RNA (bases 1-120)
Source: RNAcentral
GAUGAAGAACGUAGCGAAAUGCGAUACGUAAUGUGAAUUGCAGAAUUCAGUGAAUCAUCGAAUCUUUGAACGCAUAUUGCGCUCUCUGGUAUUCCGGAGAGCAUGCUUGUUUGAGUAUCAGUAAACACCUCAACUUCCAUAUCUUUUUUGAAAUGGGAGUUGGACUUGAGUGAUCCCAACGCUUUUCCUCACCGAAAAGUGGCGGGUUACUUGAAAUGCAGGUGCAGCUGGACUUUUCUCUGAGCUAUAAGCAUAUCUAUUUAGUCUGCCUAAAAAACAGAUUAUUACCUUUGCUGCAGCUAACAUAAAGGAGAUUAGUUCUUGUGCUGACUGAUGCAGGAUUCACAAAGACAGGCUUCGGCCGACUUUGUAAACUCGAUCUCAAAUCAAGUAAGACUACCCGCUGAACUUAAGCAUAUCAUAACGGAGGA